RNAcentral lists this ribosomal RNA (329 nucleotides) under uncultured eukaryote. RNAcentral's name for it is "partial 18S ribosomal RNA". It matches the Rfam family "Eukaryotic small subunit ribosomal RNA", at positions 1470 to 1796 of the family's 1831-position model. The record is from RNAcentral.
CCCUUAGAUGUUCUGGGCCGCACGCGCGCUACACUGACGAUGGCAACGAGUUUUUCCUUCGCCGAAAGGUGUGGGUAAUCUUUUGAAACAUCGUCGUGCUGGGGAUAGAUCAUUGCAAUUUUUGAUCUUGAACGAGGAAUUCCUAGUAAGCGCGAGUCAUCAGCUCGCGUUGAUUACGUCCCUGCCCUUUGUACACACCGCCCGACGCUACUACCGAUUGAAUGGUUUAGUGAGGACUCCUGAUUGGCGCCGCCGCCCCGGCAACGGAGCAGCGGACUGCCGAAAAGUUGUUCAAACUUGAUCAUUUAGAGGAAGUAAAAGUCGUAACA